Long non-coding RNA from Orcinus orca (killer whale), 8740 nucleotides. RefSeq lists it as uncharacterized. Lineage: Eukaryota; Metazoa; Chordata; Mammalia; Artiodactyla; Delphinidae. The transcript has 8 exons. The record is from RefSeq and is a predicted model, not a curated record.
CUUGGGGAAGGGCUUGAUGACGGCAGUUUGGUUGGGGUUCUCCUUCUUGUUGAUGUGGAUGGACAGCCGCUGCCACAGGUGCUGCCCCCGGCUACUCUUCUCGUUCUGCGCCCACGUGACAGAUUUUCCAUUGGAGCUGCGGAGAGAAGAGAGACAAGAGGACCUUGAAAUGAGGAAGAAGAUGGCCAGGAGGAAGGAUGCUAAACAUGAGGUCUUAGUUGCGGCACGUGGGGUCUUCAUUGAGGCAUUCCGGAUCUUUCACUGCAGCAUGGUCUCUUCGUUGUGGCAUGUGGGCUGCUCUCUAGUUGUGAUAUACAGAGAGUGACGAAAAAGUUGAUUCUUCUGAUGUGCAUAUACCCGGCUGAGGCUGGACAAGGUGUGAAAUGAAUGCAGUGAGAGAGAAGAUCAGUAAAUAAUUGACCAACUCUUCGUAGAAAGACAUCUCACGUUUUGGGAAAGGUUGGAUGGGGGAAGGAGGCAAAGAAAUGGUGUAAACACUAAAGACUUUGAGAUGUUUCCUGCACAUUCUAAAUCAGCCAAGUCUCCUGAAGCCUGUGUGCUCUGCAUUUCUAAGACGGUACUGCACAACCCAGAAUCCAGUCUAGAGGAAGAGCCAGUGACAGUGAGCCUUGGUCCCUGGGGAAGGCAACAGAAAUUAAGAAAACUCUUCAAAAUAGAGAAGCAGCAGAUAGAUCUUCCUCCGCUAAUGAGACCAAAAUGGAAAACUAUAAGUAGACAAGUACUUAAUGACACCAAUCAGUGGUCCAAGGGCAAGGAGUAAUAAAAUUUAGGUACAGAUUUAAAUUCAGAAUAAAAUCAAAUUCAUUUUGAGAAGCUUGAAGGGAAACUUCCUUGAAUUAAGUGAUCUGAAAUUUUAAGUUCUCCUUAUUUUGGUUUCCCACUGGGAUUAGAAGCAGACUAUUAGGAGGAAAUAAUAUCUUUCAAAAAUGUUCCUUUUCCUCUUUUUAGUCUUGCAUAUAAAAAUCUGUAUAAUUUGAUCUUAAAAAUAUUCAAAUAUCAUAAAAGUAAUUGUAUUUUUCUUGCCUUGAUCAAAAAUGGGUAUUCUUAGCUACAAAGUUUGCUAUGCUUAAUGGGUUUUAAUAUAUGUUAAAUAAGACUUCAUUUCAAGUUACCUUGCUGAAUUGAAAUCUGUCGAACAGACACCUACUGUUUGAGAUAAAAUUACCCAACUCCAUCACCAAUAAGCAUAAAAUCUUGAAAUGAAACCACUUUUCUUUUUAACCUUUUACUUAUAGAAAGUUUCAGACAUACACAAAGAGAGACAGGAUCAUAUAAUGAAUCCCCAUUUAUCCAUCACCGGCUUCAUUACUCUUCAAAAUGUUACCAGUCAUCUUGUCUCACCUAAACUCUCUCUCUCUCUUGCUCUAGUAUUUUAAAGCAAAUCCUUUACAUCAAGGCACUUUACCUGCAAUACAUUAUUAUUUAUUUCUAAUAGAUAUUUAAAAAGAUAUAUUUUAUAAUAUCAUAAUCACACCUAGUAAAGUAUUAAGAAUCAUUUAUUAAUAUUAUGUAAUACUUAUUUGAUACUCAAAAGUUGGUAAAACCAGUUUUCAUUGUGAAGUGUAGUCAGGAUGUCUCUGGUAUGGUAAGAUGAGGAAUUAUCACUAAUGUGGCCAGGGUUAUCCAGACAGGGACACUUCACUGAGAAGCUUCUUUGAUUACUUAUGUCUGGGAUAGAAUACAGCUUCCUGACUUUGUUUCCUGGAUGACCUAUGAUCACCCACCUUGCUUUAUUCUCUGUUUUCGGAAUUAAUGUUCCAAAGUUCUAAGUAACUAUUGUGAUUUGACUUUCUGUUUUUGACAUACACUCCUGUAUGAACACUUGUUCUAGAUUGCUUCCUUGGUUCUAGCAUUUCAGUUAACCUUUGAUCUUCAUUUUCUAUGGAGACAAAAUAAUCAAAUGGUAAGUCUCUGGCAUUAGUUUAGGUUAAACAAGUUUUGGUUUCUCCAUUUACUACCUAUGUGACUUUGGACAACUUUUCUAGCCUCUCUGUAUCUCAGUUCCUUCAUUUGUAAAAUGAAUAUAAUAAGACUACUUAUCUCAAAGAGUUGUUUGAGAAUUAGAAGAAAUGACCCUUUGCUGAGAGACUUGUAUACAGUAAGCACUCAAUAAAUGUUGACCAUUAUGGCCCCCCUUGCUUCCAGCCUUUGCAGUGAGCUUCCUAAUCCUCAGAUUCCCUCCACUCCUCUUUGUCCUCUUUAGCAUGUCCCAACAAACACCUCAACUCAGGUGUUAUUUCCUCUAAUUCUUAAAAACUCUUUGAGAUAAGUAGUCUUAUUAUAUGCACUUUACAAUAAGUUUCCAGAACUCCUGAUCUCUUGUUAUAUGGCUACAAUAACCAUUUUCUGUACAUUCACACAUCAAAGCUAAUUGUAAGCAGAGAAAAUAUAUAGCAUGUAAGCAUUUGAGAAUGAAGGAGAAUUACAGUUGCUGUUGCCAAUAUAAAAAUUUUAAAGUGAUAAUGAAGUCAGGAAAUCUAGCCAGGAAAAUGCAAACUUUGUUAAUCACACACUUUAGAACUUAUAUUUUCCCUGGAAUUUUUAGGUAGAGAGAUUAUCCAAUUGAAGCAAAAAAUUUUUAAAUGUUAUACAUUUUUUGAAAUUUAGAGAUUAAAGUGAUGGUACAUACUAAAUGUACCAUCAGUGUAACACUGUGAUUCUAUAAGCAAGAUACCCUCUUUAAUAUUUUUAAUGAGAAAAUCCCAUCUGUAUUCACGUUCUGUUUCUCAUUGAAACCAUAGGCCCCUAAACUGGCAACCCAUUUCUUGAUAAUGAAAAGUUAAGACAUCAAAACUCUUUCCAAGUGCUUCCCUGGUGGCGCAGUGGUUGAGAGUCUGCCUGCCGAUGCAGGGGACACAGGUUCGUGCCCCGGUCUGGGAGGAUCCCACAUGCCGCAGAGCGGCUGGGCCCGUGAGCCAUGGCCGCUGAGGCUGCACGUCCGGAGCCUGUGCUCCUCAACGGGAGAGGCCACAACAGUGAGAGGCCCGCGUACCACACACACACACAAAAAAAAAAAACAAACAAAAAAAACCCCAACUCUUUCCAAGAGUGUAGAUACAUGCUAGAGUACAGUGUCAAAUGUUUCGCACACAUAUGUUGAAGAAGAAGUCUUAGGGAAAUAAAAGAAUAUUUUGAAAAUGAAAUAUCAAAAUUUGUAGGAGGUAGUAAAAGCAGACCUUAGAGUGAAAUUAGUAGCAUUGAAUGCACAUACUAGAAAGGAAGAAGUAUCUAAAAUCAAUAGCCUAAACUUUUACCUUCAAAACCAAAGAAAGAAGAGAAUUUAAAUCUAAAGAAAGCAGAAGAAAAGAGGUAAUAAAAUUUUAGCACACCUCAAUGAAAUUGAAAGCAAGACUCAAUAGAGAAAAUAAAUGAAACUAAAAGCUGGUUCUUAGAAAAGACUAUUAAACAUUAUAAACAUGUAUUCAAGCUAACCAAUAAAAAAUAGAGAAGACACAACUUGCUAAUAUCAGAAAUGAAACAGGAUGAUAACUGCUGAUACCCUCAAUAUUAAAAGAUAAUAAAGGAGUAUUAUGAACACCUCUAUGCCCACAAAUCUUAUAACUUAGGUGAACUGGACGAAUUACUUGAAAGAUACAAACUACCAAAAUUCACAGAAGCUUAUGCAAGGAAAAGUAUUUCUGAAUGGGUUUUUGACUACUAAGGAAAUGGAAUCAAUAAUUAAUAACCUUCCCCUGGAAAAGAAGUUACCCAGCCAGAUGAUUUUCAUGUAUGCAAGGCUGGUUCAACAUUUGAAAAUCAAGUGCUACAAUCCAUCACAUCAACAGGCUAAGGAAGAAAAACCAUAUCAUCAUAUCAGUUGAUGCAGAAAAAACACACAUAUAGUUGUUUUAAAGUAUAAUUGUUAUGUCUUCCUGAUUAAUUGACCCUUUUAUUAUUACAUGGUAACCUUCACUGUCUCUUGUGACAGCUUCUCACUUAAAUUCUAUUAUAUCUGACAUAAGUGUAGCCAAUCCUGCUCACUUUUGGUUACCAUUUACGUGGAAUAUUUUUUUCUGUCCCUUCAGUUUUAGCCUCUGUAUGCAAGAUAUUUGUGGGUAUCAAAAAUUUGAUACUAAAUUUUGUAUGGAAAAGCAAAAGACCCAGAAGAGCCAACACAAUAGUGAAGAAUAAGAAAAAAGUUGGAGGACAGACAUUACCCAUCUUCAAGACUUCUUAUAAAGCUACAGUAAUAAAAACAGCAUAGUAUUGGUGAAAGAAUAGACACACAGAUAAAUGAAGUAAAACAGAGAACCCGAAAUAGACCCACACAAAUAGAGACAACUUACUAUGAAAAAGAACAAAGGAAAUUCAAUGGAGAGAAGAUUAUCUUUUCAAUAAAUGGUGCUGCAACAACUGGACACCCAUUUAAAAAACGAACGUAGACACAGACCUUAACACUUUUCACAAAAAUUAACUCACAAUGGAUCAUAAACAUAAAUGUAAAAUGCAAAAAUAUAAAACUUUUAGAAGAUAGUAUAGGAGAAAAUCUAGGUGAUCUUGGGCUUUGCACUGAGUUUUUAGUUACAACGCCAAAAAAACAUAAUCCAUGGACAAAAAAAGAUAAAUUCAACUUCAUUAAAUUUAAAACUCUGCUCUCUGAACAACACUCUUAAGAGCACGAAGAAACAAACCACAUACUGGGAGAAAAUAUUUGAAAGACAUACCUGAUAAAGAAUUUGUAUCCAAGAUAUACAAAGAACUCUUAAAACUCAACAAUAAGAAAAUAAACAAUCCAAAUUAAAAACUGGACAAAAGACCUGAACAGACACUUCACCAAAGAAGGUACACAGAUGGCAAAUAAAUAUAUGAAAAGAUAUUCAACGUCAUUUGUCAGCAGGGAAUUGUAAAUUAUAACAAGAUACCCCUACAUACCUAUUAGAAUGGUUAAAAUUAAAAACAAAAAACAAAAAAAAACCUGACAGUACCAACUGCUUGUGAGGAUACAGAGCAACAGAAAUUCUUAUUCAUUUCUGAUGGGAAUGUAAAAUAGUAAACUUUGGAAGACUGGCAGUUUCUUACAAAGCUACCGUAUGAUCCAAUUGUAUUCCUAGGUUUAUUCCCAAUUGAGUUGGGAACUUAAUUCACAUAAAAACCAGCAGCUAAAUGUUUACAGCAACUUUAUUCAUAAUUGCCCCAAAUAGGAAGUGACUGUGAUAUUCUGCAAUAGGAGAAUGAAUACACUGUGGUACAUCCAUACAAUGGAGUAUUAUUCAGUGAUAAACAGAUAUAAGCUAUCAAGCCAUGAAAAGACAUGGAAAAACAUUAAGUGACUUGCCAAUGAACAGAGCAGUCUUAAAUGCUAAAUACUAAGUUAUUUCAACUAUAUUACAUUACGGAAAAGGCAAAACCAUAGAGACACCCAAAAGUAAAGUGGUUGCUAAGGGUUUGGGAAGGGAGGAGGAAUGAAUAUAUAAAACACAAGGGAUUAUCAGGGCAGUGAAACUGUUUUGUAUGAUCCUAUAUUGCAGUGGUCCCCAGCCUUUUUGGCGCCAAAGACCGGUUUCGUGGAAGACAAUUUUUCCACGGGCGGCGGGGGGAUGGUUCAGGCGGUAAUGUGAGCGAUCGGGAGUGGCAGAUGAAGCUUCGCUCACUCGCCUGCUGCUCACCUCCGGCUGUGCAACCUGGUUCCUAAACAGGGUGCGGAAUGAUACAGUCCGCGGCCCAGGGCUUGGGGACCCCUGCUAUAUUGGUAGAUAUAUGCCUUUACGCCUUUGUCAAAAAUCUAUAGAAAUUGAUAAAACAAAAGUGAAUCUUAAUGCAAACAAUUUAAUAAAAAGCCAUUUAGGAUUUUGGGGAUACCAGGAAAGAAUGCAGACUGUAACAAGAGUAUCUAACUUUAUUAAAAGCAUAUGAAACAACCUCACUGAAGGAGGUACUGGCCCAAGUAUAUUUGGAAAUAAAUGGAGCCUAUAAGGCAAAAGGAAUUGCACGGAAAUACUGUGCUGAAGUCAGUGAAGCUGUUGACUGUGGGAAUAUGACUUAAGUAUGAUGAUACUGAUAUAUAAGUAUUCCUCAAUUGAAGAAUUAAGUAAAUGGAUAGCAGAUGAUGGAAGCCUGGUUUCUCACUGUUGGGGUGGGAUUUUACAGAUCAGCAAGGUGAAGAGGCUAUAAUGAUCCAUAUGUAAUAGAUUAGAACUGGAGACAUCAAUAAGAACUCAUGUUUAAUUUAAUAGGCAUACAGAUAAUUACAUAUAGAACUGUCUAUAGAUAUGUAUAUACACAGCGUAGUAUACACACAUACAUUUCUUUGCUUUCAUGGCCGAAACAGCCUAGUAGUAAUGAGCACACCUAGCAUCCAGAUCUUGAUUUCUGUUACCAUUCUCCAACACAAGUAACAAGGGCUGCUUGGAGACAUGGCUGAUUCUAGGUGCAGAAAAUAUUUAAAGAUGAGCUUGGAGCAUACUGUAGUACCAUGAUGAAGUAAGGAAGUGCUCACAGACACACACACACACAUACAAAUUGAUGGGGGAAUAUCGAAGGGGCACAAGAGCCAACUGAAAGGGCUCCCAAUGGACAAAGCAGGACAAUUUGAGCAACAAAAAAGUAUUAUUAGAUUAUAAUGUAAAGUAUAAAAUAAAUAGCCACAAGUUCACACUGAUACAGUGUAAAUAAAUAGUUGAUUAAAUUAAUAAAUGAGAGAGAAUCAACAAAUCUCCUCUAUGGAAGAAUUCCAAAUGAAUUAUGUAAGUAUUCCACCAUAAAGGAGGGGGAGCAAAACUCUAUAAUCUUAAAGUGAGAGUAUGUGUAGUGACUUUCUUCCAAAGAGUAAAGUGUGGAAGUGGGAGGGGAGAGGAACUUUACAAGUGGGGAAACCUGAUAAACGCUCCUUCAGCCAGGUCAUCAAGAUCAACAUCAACAGUCAUAAAUCGAAUCAUGCUGACAGUUUGCAUCCUUGAUAUGAUGCGAUUAAAAUGGUACUUUGCCUCUAUGCUCUCCCUUCCAAAAAUCUAUAACCCCAGUUAACCAUGAGAAAAAUAUCAAUCAAAUCUCAAUUUGGGAAUAUUUUACAAAAGACCUGACCAGUACUCAUUAAAAUUCUCAAAGUCAUAGAAAACAAGGAAAGUAUGAGAAACCAUCACAGCCAUGAGGAGCCUAAGAAGACAUGAUGAUUAAAUGCAAUGUGGUAUCUUGGACUGGAUUUGAGCACAGGAAAAGGACAUUAGGUAAAAACUAAGGAAAUCUUAAUAUAUGGACUUUACUUAAUAAUGAUGUAUCAACAUUUUAAUUAAACAAAUGUACCAUAUUUCUUUACAAUUAGUGUAUUAAAGAUGUUAAUGGGGGAAUUGUUUAUGUGUGUGUUUCAGAGGUAAUAGGGAACCAUUUGCUCAAUUUUUCUAUAAAUCUAAAACUUCUAAAAAAUAGUCUAUUCAUAAAGAAAUCUAUUGAAAAAAACUCCUUGCUUUUAACCUAAUAGAUGAAAAUUCCAAAUAGUUUCUGUUUUAACAAGGAAAUCAGAAAUUGUGUUGGCUUGGUUAUACAUUUGUUUUAUUACUUUAUGAUUGAUAGUGUGUGUCACUAAAACCGAACAGAAUUUUAUCACAUGAAAGGAGUAACAAGAAUAUGCUUCCAGCAAAGAAUGUAUUCUUGACAGAAAUUGAUAAGGGUUACAAUUCUGGGGCAUCUAAUGAUUUAAAUCAUUUACAACACAUGUAUUAGUAGAAUUUGGUGGAGGGUUAAUUUAAAUAUAAUUAUUUUAGAAUCUAUUCAGUUCUAAAAAGAAUAACAGAGGGACAUUUGUCACUUAGCCUCAGAAUGGAUUCCUGGACAGAUAUGACCAUAUUGCCACUCAGCAGUUGCUAAGCAAGUUAAAUGUCCUUUUCUCAUUUUUAACUCAGUUAAAUCAGAAUUUCAUCCCUCACUCCAUUGUAAACCCAUGUGCUCAUGAAAAAUAACAUUCAAUAAGAAAAGAAAAACAAAUGGCUACAUAUGUAGUUAAUACUGUAGGAUGAGAGAUUUUUAGAGAUCAUCUAGCCCUGAGCUGUUCAGUAUUGGAGCCACUAGCCAUUUGAUGUGACUGGUGGUCUGAAUUAAGAUGUGCUGAAGGUGUAAGACACACUUAUGAUUUUGAAGACUUAGUACCAAAAAAGAGAAAGAAAAAUAGUUCAAUAAUUUUUAUAUUAGUUACAUGUUGAAAUGGUAAUAUUUUAAUAUAUUAAAUUAAAUAUAAUAUUAAAAUUUUCACCUGCUCCUUUCACUUUUAUAAUGUUGCCAUUAGAAAAUUUAAAAUUAUACGUGUGGCUCUGUUGGACAGCUUGUUUGUUUUUUUGUAUCACUGUGGCCGCAGAAUUUAUAUGAUCAAUUCCAGGUUCUGUUCUUAGUUAAUCUGUGUAACAAAGAUGUUUCUCUGUUAAAAUGGGGAGAGGAGUUGUUUCAAAGAUGUUUCUCUGUUAAAAUGGGGAGAGGAGUUGUUUCAAAUUAUGUGUCAUUUAGGAUAGUUUCAGUUAGGUUUCGUGGAGUUUAAAUAUAUUUUAUGUAACACAUUCACUGCUCCCUACGGAGGCAGGAUCUUGCCUGCUUCUCUUCUGGGUUAAAUAAAAGAAGCUACCAUUUAUUGAGUGCUUACUCUAUCUAGACCAGGGCUGCGUUUUGUAUAAUAAAUAACUUGCAGAAUUUAUGGAGUUUAAUUCUCACCAAAAUCCUUGAUGGGUGAAGAAUCUGAUACUCAGAGAGCCACUGAAGUAACCAUAUUAGUGAGAAAAUGGUGGACAGGGUAUUUAAA